CCUACGGGUCGCAGCAGUGGGGAAUAUUGCACAAUGGGCGCAAGCCUGAUGCAGCCAUGCCGCGUGUAUGAAGAAGGCCUUCGGGUUGUAAAGUACUUUCAGCGGGGAGGAAGGUGUUGAGGAUAAUAACCACAGCAAUUGACGUUACCCGCAGAAGAAGCACCGGCUAACUCCGUGCCAGCAGCCGCGGUAAUACGGAGGGUGCAAGCGUCAAUCAGAAUUACUGGGCGUAAAGCGCACGCAGGCGGUCUGUCAAGUCGGAUGUGAAAUCCCCGGGCUCAACCUGGGAACUGCAUUCGAAACUGGCAGGCUAGAGUCUUGUAGAGGGGGUAGAAUUCCAGGUGUAGCGGUGAAAUGCGUAGAGAUCUGGAGGAAUACCGGUGGCGAAGGCGGCCCCCUGGACAAAGACUGACGCUCAGGUGCGAAAGCGUGGAGAGCAAACAGGAUUAGAUACCCGGGUAGUC
Molecule: ribosomal RNA, 464 nt
Filed under: uncultured bacterium
Lineage: Bacteria
Description: bacterial SSU rRNA
Rfam family: Bacterial small subunit ribosomal RNA
Source: RNAcentral